RNAcentral lists this long non-coding RNA (1983 nucleotides) under Ananas comosus (pineapple). RNAcentral's name for it is "long non-coding RNA (ACOM_LNC024246)". The record is from RNAcentral. Lineage: Eukaryota; Viridiplantae; Streptophyta; Magnoliopsida; Poales; Bromeliaceae.
UACAAUUUAUUACACAUUUGAUACAUCUUGUUCUUUUAUUUCCCUCUACCCCUAGGCUAUGCCUACUCGGGGUACCACUAUCUCUGGUCUCUGGGUAGGGCGCUAUCUACGGAGCUACGCCCUUGCCUCGCGCCGCCGCGCCGCUCACGUGCAAACCUGUAAAACCCCAAAACAACGUGGGGUGAGAACCAACUCCAUGGUUCCCAGUGGGUACGGCCACCCAAGGGAAAAGCUCGACCAAUAGGUCCAAGGAGGCACUGCAACACGUUAGUCCAAUAACAUAUAACAGAUAUAUAUUCAAUAUUGAACUAAAUGUCAUGCCUCGCAAAAUGCAAUAUGCAAUACCUGUAACUUUGUGCAAGUAGAUUACUUGAUUCUACUUCAUAUUAUUAGCCAUUCUUUACUUGUAGCCGUUCUUUACUUUAUUAGCUAUUCUUUAUCAUUAGCUUUUCUCUAGUCUUUACUUAGUCACAUUACGCUCAUCGGCGAUUCUUUCCUAAGGUUACUCAUAUCUUAGCCAUCUAUGCCACUCGACUCGGUCUUCAGUCAAUCCUCUGCGGAUAGUCCGCACACUGGCUGCUCAACAGCCCAUCGCACUCGAUGACUCGGCCACCCGGCGGCGAAAUCGUCGCACACGCUCGGCUCUGGCUCAAGUCACCCUGCGGCAUGAUCCACAAACUGGCUCAACCAUCCGGCGGCGAAAUCGUCGCACACGCCACGACAAUGGUUCUUUAGCCCCGGGCGGUGAAAUCGUCGCACACACCCCGCACCACUCUUGGUGUUCCACAAGUCCUGGGAUUCCGGAAUCCACUUCCACGGGUCGAGGGUCCAUAGCCAACCCUAUGCCGUCGACCUAGAACAUCCUAGUGGUUGCUACCACUAUACUCAACAACCUAGGUUCAAUGCCACUCUAGGUUUACUAUUCAACCUAUGUUCACUAACACUGGGUUGUUCAACAUCACUAUGUCCGACCUAUGUUUAUUCACAUUAGGUUAGAUGCCACUCGAUCUAUUUGCUUCUAGGUCUACUCACGACCUAUGUUCUUUAACAAUAAGUUAGAUGCCACUCGAUCUAUUUGAUUCUAGGUCUACUCACGACCUAUGUUCUUUAACAAUAGUUAGAUGCCACUCGAUCUAGUUCACAUUCUACCUGUCCAUACCGAGUGUUCCAAUUAUACAAUCCUAUUUUCCAAUGUCAUUUCUCUAAUCAAGCUAGAGUUAUCAACCAAGUUCAUGUUUCAUAAAUCUAGCAUAAUAUCCUACAUUAGUAGGCACUUUAUCUAACAUUCAUUUCUACAUGAAUAUGUUAUCAACAUGCAUUUCAUUCUAUGCAUUAUAUUUACAUGCAUCCUUCUAGUUUACAUGCGUAUAUAUAUAAUCUUUUAUAUACAUCUAUUUCAGCAUUUACAUCAUAUCAUGCAUUACUAGCAUUACAUUAUUAUCAUGCAUUACUAGCAUUAUGUAACUUGCACACUUUAACUCUAACUAGCUCUUUAUGGUAGUUUCAUAAGUUCAAUCUCAAUGCUAACCAAUACUCUGAUUAUAGUGUCACAAAUCCACUAUUGUCUUGGUUCACAAUAAAUUCAUGCAUUUAUAGGUUUUUAUGUUCACAUACUACUAUUCAUUGGUUCUCAACAUUGAUAGAAAUUCAAAUAUUUCAUUAUCAUUGGUAUAGUGCCAAUACCCUAUAAUACAUGAAUACUAAUAAUAUGCUCAAUGAAACAUUAUAGACAUAAUACUAGCAUUAUGUAACUUGCUCACUAUGCAUUUCUACUUAGCAUUUACAUUAACACGCAUUAUUUAACGCUUAUAUGCAUCAACCCGAAUUCUUAAUUUGCUUAGACAUAAAGGCGACCUAGUCGCUUCGGUAAGCACAACCCACCUCGAUUCGCGUUCCGAUUGCUUGUCGACACUUGCAAUCGGCCUCCCGCGGCACCCGUAUCCGGCACGGCCCAAUAUUGCAACUGCGCCACAACCGUGCUUC